This 116-nucleotide ribosomal RNA is filed under the name Klebsiella oxytoca. The record is from RNAcentral. Lineage: Bacteria; Pseudomonadati; Pseudomonadota; Gammaproteobacteria; Enterobacterales; Enterobacteriaceae.
CCUGGCGGCUUUAGCGCGGUGGUCCCACCUGACCCCAUGCCGAACUCAGAAGUGAAACGCCGUAGCGCCGAUGGUAGUGUGGGGUCUCCCCAUGUGAGAGUAGGGCAUUGCCAGGC